This is an RNA transcript of Pseudophryne corroboree (corroboree frog), 1544 nucleotides long. It is a transcript of the gene named putative nuclease HARBI1, with no coding region annotated. The record is from RefSeq and is a predicted model, not a curated record. Lineage: Eukaryota; Metazoa; Chordata; Amphibia; Anura; Myobatrachidae. The transcript is spliced from 3 exons.
UCAAUACAUAUUGCGGCAGAAGCCCUACCUCCCCAACCCACGCCAGCACUCCCACCCCAACCGCCAGCCCCACAACCACAGCCGGCUCCUCAUCAACCAAGGCAACGGAGGCGUGCUAGGCCACCAAUUUUCAGAACCCGUGUCAGACUUUUUGGGAUGCCAGAUGAUGUGGUGGUGCGUAGAUACCGGCUGCCACCACAUCUAAUCCUAGACACUCUCUCCAUAAUAGAGAGUGAUCUGGAGUCUGAAAUUCGGUAUCCUACAGCAAUACCACCAUUGACACAAUUCCUUGCAGUGUUACAUUUUUUGGCCACAGGAUCAUUCCAGCAUGUGGUUGGAGACCUGGUUGGCAUGUCGCAGGGCCAGUUCAGUAAGGUCCUGCGACGUGUCUGCCAGGCUUUCCUCAAGCGUGUUAAGCAAUUUAUUGCUAUGCCUUUGGAUGUUGGUGCCCUAGAUGUGGUGAAGCGGCAAUUUGCGGAAGGUGGUAGUCGCUUCCCACAUGUUAUUGGGGUUGUGGAUGGCACACAUGUAGCUAUUCAGCCACCAAAACAUAAUGAAGAAAUUUAUAGAAACAGGAAACUGUUUCAUUCUCUGAAUGUAAUGGUUGUUUGUGGGCCAUCCCUCCAGAUCCUUUCCCUGAACGCAAAGUUUACUGGAAGUUCCCAUGAUGCGUAUGUCAUUAGACAAUCAGGGAUAUGGCAGAGAUUAAGAUCAAGUCAACGACCAGACAUGUGGUUAUUGGGAGACCGUGGAUAUCCUUGCACCCCCUGGCUCAUGACUCCUUACCGUAAUCCCAGGCCAGGACCACAGAUGGCAUUUAACUCCGCGCUUACUGCCACUAGGCAGCUGGUGGAGCGCACAAUUGGUGUCCUGAAAGGGCGGUUUCGUGUGCUCCACCGCACUGGUGGCGACAUCAUGUAUUCGCCGGAGAUGGCAAGUAAAAUAGUGGUCCUGUGCGCAAUACUCCAUAAUAUCGCGGUAAGGAGUAGUGUAGAGCUUCCUCAGGCAGAGGAAUUGCCUGAUGAGGAGCCAGGGGUUGUGCCACGCUUCGGUGGGGGGAGUGUGACACGGAGGGGGAGCCAAGUGAGGGCAAGAAUUGUAGCAGAAUAUUUCAGGUAUAGUGUUUAUAUAUUUUAUAUUUGCCCAAAUAAUACAACACAGUAUGCUUCUGUUUUAUAAACCAUGAUUUCAAUUUGUAUGAUCUUGUAAAGUGAUUGGGUACGGAUUUUGUGGUGUUGGAAUGUGUAAUUGUUUUUGGUUCAAAAUACAAAAACACGUUAAGCUUACAAUGUUUAUUUUGAAAUUUAAAUACUGUAAUGUUGCUAAAUAGUGUCCUUAUUUGUUUUAUAUCAUCAAAUCCUGAUUAUGUAACCAAACACACAAACAAAUGAUACUCAAUGUUUCACACUUUGUGACUGUCCAGCUGAAUGAUCACACGAACUGUGGACAACAACAACGGCAAAACUCCCCACCCCCUUCCCCUUCUCACUCCCCCUCCCCUUCUCACUCCCCCUCCCCUUCUCACUCCCCCUCCCCUUCUCACU